RNAcentral lists this ribosomal RNA (493 nucleotides) under uncultured bacterium. Its description in RNAcentral is "bacterial SSU rRNA". It matches the Rfam family "Bacterial small subunit ribosomal RNA", at positions 31 to 518 of the family's 1533-position model. The record is from RNAcentral.
GAACGCUAGCGACAGGCCUAACACAUGCAAGUCAGGGGCAGCACAAGGAGCAAUCUGAGGUGGCGACCGGCGCACGGGUGAGUAACACGUAUGCAACCUGCCUGUAAGCGGGGAAUAACCCGUUGAAAGACGGACUAAUACCGCAUAAUACUAAAUUACUGCAUGGUAAUUUAUUUAAACAUUUAUGGCUUACAGAUGGGCAUGCGCAUGAUUAGCUAGUUGGAGAGGUAACGGCUCCCCAAGGCAACGAUCAUUAGGGGUUCUGAGAGGAAGGUCCCCCCACACUGGUACUGAGACACGGACCAGACUCCUACGGGAGGCAGCGGUGAGGAAUAUUGGUCAAUGGACGAGAGUCUGAACCAGCCAAGUCGCGUGCAGGAAGAAUGUCCCUAUGGAUUGUAAACUGCUUUUGCAGGGGAAUAAAGUGCAUCACGUGUGAUGUUUUGUAUGUACUCUGCGAAUAAGGAUCGGCUAACUCCGUGCCAGCCGCCGC